GGACUACCCGGGUUUCUAAUCCUGUUCGCUCCCCUGGCUUUCGCACCUGAGCGUCAGUAACCAUCCAGGACACUGCCUUCGCCUUUGGUAUUCCUCCGGAUAUCUACGCAUUUCACCACUCCACCCGGAAUUCUAUGUCCCUCUCUGGUCCUCAAGUUCAGCAGUUUUUGAAGACCUUGCUCAGUUGAGCCGAGCACUGUCACUCCAAACUUGCCAAACCGCCUGCGUGCGCUUUACGCCCAGUAACUCCGGACAACGCUUGCCCCCUACGUAUUACCGCGGCUGCUGGCAC
RNAcentral lists this ribosomal RNA (292 nucleotides) under uncultured bacterium. Its description in RNAcentral is "partial 16S ribosomal RNA". The record is from RNAcentral.